GACGAACGCUGGCGGCGUGCUUAACACAUGCAAGUCGAACGAUGAUGCCCAGCUUGCUGGGUUGAUUAGUGGCGAACGGGUGAGUAACACGUGAGUAACCUGCCCCUGACUCUGGGAUAAGCGUUGGAAACGACGUCUAAUACUGGAUAUGAUCGCCGGCCGCAUGGUCUGGUGGUGGAAAGAUUUUUUGGUGGGGAUGGACUCGCGGCCUAUCAGCUUGUUGGUGAGGUAAUGGCUCACCAAGGCGACGACGGGUAGCCGGCCUGAGAGGGUGACCGGCCACACUGGGACUGAGACACGGCCCAGACUCCUACGGGAGGCAG
This 323-nucleotide ribosomal RNA is filed under the name uncultured Actinomycetes bacterium. RNAcentral's name for it is "bacterial SSU rRNA". It matches the Rfam family "Bacterial small subunit ribosomal RNA", at positions 28 to 351 of the family's 1533-position model. The record is from RNAcentral. Lineage: Bacteria; Bacillati; Actinomycetota; Actinomycetes.